This 478-nucleotide long non-coding RNA is filed under the name Nicotiana benthamiana. RNAcentral describes it as "long non-coding RNA (NBEN_LNC008262)". Lineage: Eukaryota; Viridiplantae; Streptophyta; Magnoliopsida; Solanales; Solanaceae. The record is from RNAcentral.
UUGAAUUCACAGUAUUUCCCUAAGGAAUUUAAUCGCCUUUUAGUACCAAAGGUUAUAAAUUAUUUCCUCCCAAGAUAGAACGAAUUACACACUGGUGUAAUGGUACUUCAAACCCCAGUGUUUCAGCGAACACAACGUUCUAUAGCAAAUCACACUUACUUUUGUUUUGUUUGAUGCUAAAAGUAUACAGAAGAAGGAGAGAAAACUCAGAAAAUCGUAGUUGAAUUUUGAGCAGGAUAGCUAAAAGUAUUUAUAGUCAAAGUUGGGCUGAAAUCUGAAGAGGUGCAACUCUUCAGAAUGGAUGUUUAUGCAAAAAGGCCACAACAUAAAUGCCGUUACAUAAAUGGUCAUUUACUCAACAAUAAAGAGGGAAAAUAAAGAGAAAAUUUUGAAGAGGAUUGGAUUUAAUACUAAUAUUUUACUAUUAACAAAUGAAUUUGGUCCAAAUCCAAAUCUAAAGCCGAGCGAUGACGAUGAC